CCUACGGGAGGCAGCAGUGAGGAAUAUUGGUCAAUGGGCGCAAGCCUGAACCAGCCAAGUAGCGUGAAGGAUGACGGCCCUAGGGGUUGUAAACAUCUUUUAUAUGGGAAUAAAGUGCAGUAUGUAUACUGCUUUGCAUGUACCUUAUGAAUAAGGAUCGGCUAACUCCGUGCCAGCAGCCGCGGUAAGACGGAGGAUCCGAGCGUUAUCCGGAUUUAUUGGGUUUAAAGUGAGCGGAGGCGGGUUGUUAAGUCAGUUGUGAAAGUUUGCGGCUCAACCGUAAAAUUGCAGUUGAUACUGGUAUCCUUGAGUACAGUAGAGGUAGGCGGAAUUCGUGGUGUAGCGGUGAAAUGCUUAGAUAUCACGAAGAACUCCGAUUGCGAAGGCAGCCUACUGGACUGUAACUGACGCUCAUGCUCGAAAGUGUGGGUAUCAAACAGGAUUAGAUACCCUGGUAGUC
Molecule: ribosomal RNA, 460 nt
Filed under: uncultured bacterium
Lineage: Bacteria
Description: partial 16S ribosomal RNA
Rfam family: Bacterial small subunit ribosomal RNA
Source: RNAcentral